AGCGACCAUAUAAGUGUGUUGGACAACAGACUGUAGGUGAUUUGCUUCUCCCCGGAUUCGGUAAGUGGUAUUCCCAUACCAUACCCGUACUGAUCAAAUGAGUUGGUGACGAUUGAAUAACGUGUUCUCUCCUUCCCCAGUGAUCAGCAUAAGGGCGAUCUGGGUGCACGCUUAAUUAGUGAUAUCUGAAGCUGGAGUGGGGUGUAUCAGAGUGGCGGCUAUCUAGGGUGUGGAGGUGGUCUUUUGUCAAAAGUGUGGGGUGUAACUUAUGUUUGUAGUGUAAUUCCACUAGAGUGUCUUUUGAGAUUGAAAUCCACAAGGGAAGGCUGCUUUAAUUUGGGCUGUUGUGAUGCUCCAUGUGUGGCCGACCCACUUUCUGAGACACCCCAGUUCUAUGAUGUAACCUUUUGAGUUAACCCUUUUGAUUUAGUCCUGUUGUUUUAUCGCUUGUGGCUCUGGCCAUUUAUUCUGAACUACUUGUGUUCAUUUUGGUCAUUUUUACCUUUAUGAUAAUAAAGCUGUAUUCUUAUAUUGA
Long non-coding RNA from Carassius auratus (goldfish), 535 nucleotides. RefSeq lists it as uncharacterized. The record is from RefSeq and is a predicted model, not a curated record. The transcript has 2 exons. NCBI's taxonomy places the organism in Eukaryota, Metazoa, Chordata, Actinopteri, Cypriniformes, Cyprinidae.